CAUUAGGGAAGGAGGAAGAAAAGUAGCUGUGAGCAUUUAUAAAGGGAAGGAAUGGGAAGCCUUGUGCUGUGGAGGGGAGGUUCUUUGGUGGUGACUGCAAUAAAGCGUUUGGAGGCCCCUGCUGACAUUCAAGUCUUCAUCUAUCUCUACCUUAUGCUUCUGGAAGCCCAUAAAACAUGGCCUGAUCUAAAGACUGGUGAGUGGGAGAUUUUCAAAUUGUGCUUAUUCUCAUCCGACUCAGUCUGGGGGCUUGUCUGGGAUCCUGGAAUGCAGAAACUUCUCCUGAAUUUCUGCAAGAAACUUGGAACAGAGGGACCAAAUUUCCUGAGAAGACUGAUCCCUGAUAAAGAUGAUUGGUGAAGAUGAAGUGUGUUAGCUAUAUCUAAUUAAUGUUAUUGUUAUUGUAGAGAGAGAAACUGAGGCAAGUGAAAAUAAUUAUUUGCCAGUCACUUGCCAUGCAUUUGCUAUCAUCAGUUAGAUCAUCUCUGUGCAUCCAAAGUAGGGGAUAUGCCUUCUAAGAAGAUAAAAUUAAGCCAUCUUUUACUUCAGCCCCCAGCUCCAGAGUAUUAUCAAUGAGAAGGGGUCCAUUUUCCAAAACCCCCAUUUCAUUCAGGGGGAUGAAAAGCUCAUAAGAGAUACAUAAUUCUUUUGUAUUAGUAAAAUUUGCUCACUACUCUCAAAGUUUUGUAUGUCACAGCACCCCAACCUAAGGAGGCCUCUCUCUCAUCCCAUUUAUUGACAGUGGGAGAUUUUUGAGCUGUGCUUCAUCUCAUCCCACUCAAUCCUAACCUGAUUGAUUCAGGGCACUGUGAGUUACAGUAAAAGUGUUACUUGAAGCAAGUUACUUAAGGAAGCAAGGAGAUUGUUUAUUGCCCUUGAACCUUUUGUCUUUCAUCAAUCUCUUUCCCACAGUCCUGGAGUCUUUUAGAUAAAGAGUCAACAAAAGGUCUUUGAAAUUUAAAAACAGAUUAGUCAUUCCUUUCUCAAUUGGGGGUGCUAACCAGUGCUUUUUUCCUUGAGGAAGUCUUGUUUCCAAGAGAAAUUUUACAACUUAAGUGACUCCCUUAUCUCCUUUGGUACCAAAAAUGUCAAGAGAUGUUCUCAUUCUGUUGUAUAUGUAUACAUUUUGUUACACCUCUGACCCAAUAGACUGUUUCUUAAAAUUUUAAUUUGGGAGUUCGGAUUGACAGGAAUCAUGACAUGAACAAAAAGAUGGAAAGAAAGAGAUAAGAGGGGAGGUUUGUGACUGUGAAUUUUAUAAAUUGGUGGACUUAAAUCUGAUACUUUAGCAUUCUUUGAGCACCCAAGAAGGGGAAUGCCUCUUUCUAUUAAAAUCAAUAAAGCCAUCAUUUUUGCAUCUUUCUCUCUGGCU
Molecule: long non-coding RNA, 1372 nt
Filed under: Monodelphis domestica (gray short-tailed opossum)
Lineage: Eukaryota; Metazoa; Chordata; Mammalia; Didelphimorphia; Didelphidae
Description: lncRNA (ENSMODG00000030921.2)
Source: RNAcentral